UAGUGGCGCGCGGCCUGGGUUUCCCCGGUUCAAGAAGCCACUCGGCGACUGUCGUCGGCCCUGCCGAUCCCACCGUCCGCUGCCUAUAGGAGGCGGCCUCUGCGCCCAGGUGGAGGAGGCGGCACACGAUACCCGUAGCUCACUGGUUGCCAUUUGAUUUUUAGGGAGAUUGGAUUCUUAUCACCAGAUGUAUACCUAAACUAAAGACCAACCAUGUUAAAUAUCCACAAGGGUGGGAGCUUACUGAGCCCACUCUUUGAGAACUUGAGGCAAAGAUGAGAAAAGGUUAUUUGUCCUCAUUGUUUUGGUUACUCUUUUUUUACCUUCUAUAUGUGCUGAAUGUACAUUUAAGAUUCAAUUUUGUCUUAUUUAUGAAAUCCACAUGCAUUUGUACCUGAAAAUGAUCCUCAAGAUGGGAACAGAAAGUGUAAAAGCACCUUCGUCUAUUUUUUGUUUGGCUCAUCCAAAGAAAAUUACGUAUACAACCUUUAUCAUCAGAGGAAGGAAAUUUCCAAGGAAUUGCAUCAAUUCUGUCUGGAUCAGGGCCAUGCAGACCAUAAUCUGAUUGUAAAGGGGGAAAAGCCAGGUAAUGAACACCUUGCUGGCUGACAUGCAUGCAGACAUGAGUUCACAAUUCUGCAACCACUUGCGUAUGGGAUCCCUAAACACCUGAGGAAAGAAAAGGUGAUAGAAAUGUCGACUGUGGUUACAGGGGCUGUCCAAGUGAAGAUUAAAUCCUUUGUGAAAUACACAAAUAAUUCAAGAUGUGCUGACAUACUUUGAUCCAAAUUUCUUGCAAGCUUUAGCCUUUAGACAAGAGCCAGUCCCUUGCAACUUGGUAGCAAAUUUGAUGGGGCUUAAAUCAUUCGCCAUGUGCUAGGUUCACCUUGACUGUCAUCACUGCUAGCCUUUGAUGGUUCAUUCGCGUCAGCAUUUCGAUGACUUGGAUUUAAGAAUCUGUUGGCUCUCAUCACACCUCAACUACCGAGUUGCUGCAAAUUCCAGUAUGAUGGUGGUACUCUAGAGCAGACCUGUACUUGGAUGAUAUCUGGUGUUGUGGUAUCACAGCCUAAAGGCUAAGCAUUUCUUGGAAGACUACCUUGGUUUUGAGCAUAGCAUCCUUGGUUAUGUGGCUCUGGCUCACUUGGGUUUGUCCUUGCUUCUUCUUUGCUAUUGGUCUAUUCUAUCAAAUACCUCAACUUGCGAAAACCACAGGCAAGUUAUUCUAAAUCUUGCUCGGCAAUAAUGUUUUUUUUUUCUUUUUAUCCCUUGGACAAGAAACAAAUAGUGACAAUAUCUGGAGAAAAUCCUCAGUUUUCUCUGGUGACAAAUUAAGACCUUGCUAGUUUUGCAGCUUGGUAUCCUGUCUUCAGAACUAUGCUACUGCCUUCUUGAUGUAUCUUCCACCAUUAUAUUCUAUGAAACCAACCCUAGUUAUUUAUAAAAUGGUUGUCUUUCUU
Non-coding RNA from Musa acuminata subsp. malaccensis (wild Malaysian banana), 1460 nucleotides. The record is from RefSeq and is a predicted model, not a curated record. Lineage: Eukaryota; Viridiplantae; Streptophyta; Magnoliopsida; Zingiberales; Musaceae.